GACGAACGCUGGCGGCGUGCUUAACACAUGCAAGUCGAACGAAGUGGCGAACGGGUGAGUAAGACGUUAGUAACCUGCACUCCUUUUUGGGAUAAGCCCUGGUAACGGGGUCUAAUACCGGAUAACGGGGGAUGGGCUCGCGGCCUAUCAGCGUGUUGGUGGGGUGAUGGCCUACCCAGGCAGUGACGGGUAGCCGGCCUGAGAGGGUGACCGGUGACAUUGGGACUGAGAUACGGCCGAGAAGAGUACGGGAGGCAGAAGUGUGGGAUAUUGAAACAUGGGCGAAAGACUGAUGAAGGGAAGCAGAGGGGGGAAUGAAGGCUUUGGGGUUGUAAACCUAUAUCGGUAUAGAAAGGGUAGGUGGAGAAGAAGCGCCGGCUAACUACGUGGCAGCAGCCGCGGUAAUAC
RNAcentral lists this ribosomal RNA (408 nucleotides) under uncultured bacterium. RNAcentral's name for it is "partial 16S ribosomal RNA". It matches the Rfam family "Bacterial small subunit ribosomal RNA", at positions 28 to 526 of the family's 1533-position model. The record is from RNAcentral.